CCCUUAGAUGUCCUGGGCCGCACGCGCGCUACGCUGAGUGUCUGAGAUACGAGUCUGCCUGGUCCGGCAAGGUCUAGGUAAUCGCUAAAAGACACAUCAUGCUUGGGAUAGAUUAUUGCAAAUAUUAAUCUUGAACGAGGAAUUCCUAGUAAGCGCAAGUCAACAGCUUGCGUUGAUUACGUCCCUGCCCUUUGUACACACCGCCCGUCGCUACUACUGAUUGGAUGUUUAAGCGAGGUUCUCGAACUGCUAGCGACUUAGCUUCGGUGAGGUCGCAGUGUGGGAAGUGAACCGAGCUUUGGUGUCUAGAGGAAGUAAAAGUCGUAACA
Molecule: ribosomal RNA, 329 nt
Filed under: uncultured eukaryote
Lineage: Eukaryota
Description: partial 18S ribosomal RNA
Rfam family: Eukaryotic small subunit ribosomal RNA
Source: RNAcentral